RNAcentral lists this transfer RNA (71 nucleotides) under Patescibacteria group bacterium. RNAcentral's name for it is "tRNA-Glu". It matches the Rfam family "tRNA". Rfam says of the family: Transfer RNA (tRNA) molecules are approximately 80 nucleotides in length. Their secondary structure includes four short double-helical elements and three loops (D, anti-codon, and T loops). The record is from RNAcentral.
GCCGAGUUCGUCUAGUGGUAGGACGCCUGGUUCUCAUCCAGGUAACACGGGUUCGACUCCCGUACUCGGUG